RNAcentral lists this ribosomal RNA (253 nucleotides) under uncultured bacterium. RNAcentral describes it as "partial 16S ribosomal RNA". It matches the Rfam family "Bacterial small subunit ribosomal RNA", at positions 524 to 776 of the family's 1533-position model. The record is from RNAcentral.
UACGGGGGGGGCAAGCGUUGUUCGGAAUUACUGGGCGUAAAGGGCUCGUAGGUGGCCAACUAAGUCGGACGUGAAAUCCCUCGGCUCAACCGAGGAACUGCCUUGGAAACUGCAUGGCUCGAGGCCGGGAGAGGGUAGCGGAAUUCCCAGUGUAGCGGUGAAAUGCGUAGAUAUUGGGAGGAACACCGGUGGCGAAGGCGGCUACCUGGACCGGUUCUGACGCUGAUGCGCGAAAGCGUGGGGAGCAAACAGG